UGGGGAAUAUUGCACAAUGGAGGGAACUCUGAUGCAGCGACGCCGCGUGAACGAAGAAGGCUUUCGAGUCGUAAAGUUCUUUUAUAUGGGAAGAUAAUGACGGUACCAUAAGAAAAAGCCCCGGCUAACUACGUGCCAGCAGCCGCGGUAAUACGUAGGGGGCUAGCGUUGUCCGGAAUCACUGGGCGUAAAGGGUUCGCAGGCGGAAAUGCAAGUCAGGUGUAAAAGGCAGUAGCUUAACUACUGUAAGCAUUUGAAACUGCAUAUCUUGAGAAGAGUAGAAGUAAGUGGAAUUUUUAGUGUAGCGGUGAAAUGCGUAGAUAUUAAAAAGAAUACCGGUGGCGAAGGCGACUGACUGGGCUCAUACUGACGCUGAGGAACGAAAGCGUGGGUAGCAAACAGG
RNAcentral lists this ribosomal RNA (403 nucleotides) under Fusobacteriota bacterium. RNAcentral describes it as "Fusobacteria bacterium partial 16S ribosomal RNA". It matches the Rfam family "Bacterial small subunit ribosomal RNA", at positions 355 to 776 of the family's 1533-position model. Lineage: Bacteria; Fusobacteriati; Fusobacteriota. The record is from RNAcentral.